Molecule: long non-coding RNA, 992 nt
Organism: Tupaia belangeri chinensis (Chinese tree shrew)
Lineage: Eukaryota; Metazoa; Chordata; Mammalia; Scandentia; Tupaiidae
Exons: 4
Source: RefSeq, a predicted model, not a curated record
CGGGCGAGCGGGGCGACGGUGGUGCCCAUCGGAGCUGACCCCACUGCCAGCAGCGGAGCCCUCUGCACCCCAGAGCGCAGGAGGGGCAAAGAGGAAGCACAAGAAGAAAGGCCUGGUGCAGAGCCCCAGUUUCUGCUUCAUGGAUAUGAAUUGCCCAGGAUGCUAUAAAAUCUUUAGCCAUGCACAGUUGUUUUGUCUGUUGUCUGCUCUACUGUUCUCUGCCAGCCUACAGGAGGAAAGGUCUGGUCAAGCCCCAGCACUCAGAUCGAAGAAACAGAAGUAUUUCUUAGGGCCCAAAAGACGAGGUGGCCGAGUGGUUAAGGCGAUGGACUGCUAAUCCAUUGUGCUCUGCACGCGUGGGUUCGAAUCCCAUCCUCGUCGGUUUGAGAUUGCUGUGGCAAGUUCUUCGUUUUGUAAUUCCCCAUCUAAGGAUUUUUCUUGCAGCUUUGUAUGUACCAGAUUGCUGUUUCACUGUCAUCACUGUACUCUCUUUACUGGAGUAUGCCUUUCAUCUCUCGACUAUAUUUUUCCAAUAAGGUCGAGUGUUAUAGAGGGCUCUCAAAUAUUCACCCACCUGCCGGGGAGCCAACCUGACCAAGGAAACACGACAGAAGGUGCCUUCGUGUGGGCGCCGUGGCUUAGUUGGUUAAAGCGCCUGUCUAGUAAACAGGAGAUCCUGGGUUCGAAUCCCAGCGGUGCCUCCCGAAGUUUGUAUGCUUUUGCAGGCAAGAGAUCCUGUGAGGAUUGAAUCGCCUCGUGACGUCCUUGUAGUUUCCCACGUAUCCAUCUAUCCUCUCUCGGGAAUCAACCGUGUACCUGGUCUGGUGUUUUGACUUUCUGGUCGGGCACGAAAUUGACGGUGAUUGUCAUUUUCCGUACAUCCUGUUCCUCGUGUGCACGGUAUUUGUAUCUCGACCAGAUUCCUGCGAUUUAUCAUCUGCUUAUUAGUAUUAUUGUGGCUUGGCUGUUAACUUGUGUAAGUGCUAAGCGUG